AGAGUUGAUCCUGGCUUAGGAUGAACGCUAGCGGCAGGCUUAACACAUGCAAGUCGAGGGGCAGCGUGGAGUAGCAAUACUCUGACGGCGACCGGCGAAAGGGUGAGUAACGCGUGAGCAACAUGCCCGGUAGUGGAGAAUAGUCGAUGGAAACGUCGCGUAAUACUCCGUAACAUAGAGAACCGCAUGAUUUUCUAUUAAUAGAUUUAUCGCUACCGGAUUGGCUCGCGUACCAUUAGCUAGUUGGCGGGGUAACGGCCCACCAAGGCGACGAUGGUUAGGGGUUCUGAGAGGAAGGUCCCCCCACAUUGGAACUGAGACACGGUCCAGACUCCUACGGGAGGCAGCAGUGAGGAAUAUUGGACAAUGGCCGAGAGGCUGAUCCAGCCAUGCCGCGUGCGGGAAAGACGGCCCUAUGGGUUGUAAACCGCUUUUGUUGGGGAGCAAUAAGGUCCACGCGUGGAUCGAUGAGAGUACCCAGCGAAUAAGCAUCGGCUAACUCCGUGCCAGCAGCAGC
This 517-nucleotide ribosomal RNA is filed under the name uncultured bacterium. RNAcentral describes it as "bacterial SSU rRNA". It matches the Rfam family "Bacterial small subunit ribosomal RNA", at positions 8 to 518 of the family's 1533-position model. The record is from RNAcentral.